UCAAGACUCAUAUUCCUUUACAACUCCUAAUUCUUCUCAAAGAAACAGCCUCCUAACCCUAGCUGGCCUCUUUACCUCUUUAAUAGGGGUUGGCUUAUGUAGAUUUUAUAUGAAUGCCCCUUUCUAUUAAGACUCUCCUAGCUAGAGUCCUAAGAGACCCGCCCACUUCAAAUCAGACUUAUCCUCGAGGCUAAGAUUCCAUGAACUCUAGGAAUUUGAUUUUCAAAUCGUCAUAGUUCUCCCAAGUGGUGCCUUCUACUAGUAAGUUCGCCUACUAUAUUAACGCUUCAGUAGUAGGUCAUCGUCGUCGAGUCAUGAUCCGUCGAUCAAUUAUGACACUCGAUUGGGUCUGGAGUUCUUCUUGGGUAAUCAUAUUUGGUGGAUGGUUUUGGGCUGUCUCCAAGCACCUUUUCACCACUUCCGUCUA
Molecule: long non-coding RNA, 427 nt
Filed under: Musa acuminata (dwarf banana)
Lineage: Eukaryota; Viridiplantae; Streptophyta; Magnoliopsida; Zingiberales; Musaceae
Description: long non-coding RNA (MACU_LNC005605)
Source: RNAcentral